Molecule: ribosomal RNA, 484 nt
Filed under: uncultured bacterium
Lineage: Bacteria
Description: partial 16S ribosomal RNA
Rfam family: Bacterial small subunit ribosomal RNA
Source: RNAcentral
AUUGAACGCUGGCGGCAGGCCUAACACAUGCAAGUCGAGCGGAUGAAGGUGGCUUGCUCCUGGAUUCAGCGUCGGACGGGUGAGUAAUGCCUAGGAAUCUGCCUGGUAGUGGGGGGUAACGUCCGAAAACGGGCGCUAAUACCUCAUACGUCCUGAGGGAGAAAGUGGGGGUUCUUCGGACCUCACGCUAUCAGAUGAGCCUAGGUCGGAUUAGCUAGUUGGUGGGGUAAAGGCCUACCAAGGCGACGAUCCGUAACUGGUCUGAGAGGAGGAUCAGUCACACGGGAACUGAGAAACGGUCCAGACUCCUACGGGAGGCAGCAGUGGGGAAUAUUGGACAAGGGGCGAAAGCCUGCUCCAGCCAUGCCGCGUGUGUGAAGAAGGUCUUCGGAUGGUAAAGCACUUUAAGUUGGGAGGAAGGGCAGUAAGUUAAUACCUUGCUGUUUUGACGGUACCAAAAGAAUAAGCAACGGCUAACUUCGUG